RNAcentral lists this ribosomal RNA (492 nucleotides) under uncultured bacterium. Its description in RNAcentral is "partial 16S ribosomal RNA". It matches the Rfam family "Bacterial small subunit ribosomal RNA", at positions 29 to 507 of the family's 1533-position model. The record is from RNAcentral.
AGUGAACGCUGGCGGUAGGCCUAACACAUGCAAGUCGAACGGCAGCACAGUAAGAGCUUGCUCUUACGGGUGGCGAGUGGCGGACGGGUGAGGAAUACAUCGGAAUCUACUUUUUCGUGGGGGAUAACGUAGGGAAACUUACGCUAAUACCGCAUACGACCUACGGGUGAAAGCAGGGGAUCUUCGGACCUUGCGCGAUUGAAUGAGCCGAUGUCGGAUUAGCUAGUUGGCGGGGUAAAGGCCCACCAAGGCGACGAUCCGUAGCUGGUCUGAGAGGAUGAUCAGCCAACCUGGAACUGGGACACGGUCCAGACUCCUACGGGGAGCAGCAGUGGGGAAUAUUGGACAAUGGGCGCAAGCCUGAUCCAGCCAUAGCGCGUGGGUGAAGAAGGCCUUCGGGUUGUAAAGCCCUUUUGUUGGGAAAGAAAAGCAGCAGGUUAAUACCCCGCUGUUCUGACGGUACCCAAAGAAUAAGCACCGGCUAACUUCGUG